AAGCGCUUAUGACCAGACUUGGGCCUGCCGGAUCAACCUGGGUUCUCCCGGGUGCACUCCUUCAGAUUCAGGCCAGCAUCAGUUCGGCGCGGGGGACAAAGGCUUCGGGAAUGUGGCUCCCCUCGGGGAGUGUUAUAGCCCGUUGCGUAAUACCCUGCGCUGGACUGAGGACCGCGCUUCGGCAAGGAUGCUGGCGUAAUGGUCAUCAGCGA
This 212-nucleotide ribosomal RNA is filed under the name Nectriaceae sp. RNAcentral's name for it is "partial large subunit ribosomal RNA". The record is from RNAcentral. Lineage: Eukaryota; Fungi; Ascomycota; Sordariomycetes; Hypocreales; Nectriaceae.